AGCAGUCGCCACGGUAAAACAGAGGGUGCGAGCGUUAAUCGGAUUUACUGGGCGUAAAGCGUGCGUAGGCGGCUUCUUAAGUCGGAUGUGAAAUCCCUGAGCUUAACUUAGGAAUUGCAUUCGAUACUGGGAAGCUAGAGUAUGGGAGAGGAUGGUAGAAUUCCAGGUGUAGCGGUGAAAUGCGUAGAGAUCUGGAGGAAUACCGAUGGCGAAGGCAGCCAUCUGGCCUAAUACUGACGCUGAGGUACGAAAGCAUGGGGAGCAAACAGGAUUAGAUACCCCCGUAGUCCCUGUCUCUUAUAC
RNAcentral lists this ribosomal RNA (303 nucleotides) under uncultured bacterium. Its description in RNAcentral is "partial 16S ribosomal RNA". It matches the Rfam family "Bacterial small subunit ribosomal RNA", at positions 507 to 807 of the family's 1533-position model. The record is from RNAcentral.